This 500-nucleotide ribosomal RNA is filed under the name uncultured bacterium. Its description in RNAcentral is "bacterial SSU rRNA". It matches the Rfam family "Bacterial small subunit ribosomal RNA", at positions 1004 to 1512 of the family's 1533-position model. The record is from RNAcentral.
AGAUAUUUAAUCCCCGCAAGGGGCCUGUUUGUAGGUGCUGCAUGGUUGUCGUCAGCUCGUGCCGUGAGGUGUCGGGUUAAGUCCCAUAACGAGCGCAACCCCUACUGUUAGUUACCAACGGGUCAAGCCGGGGACUCUAACGGGACUGCCGCCGUAAGGUGUGAGGAAGGUGGGGAUGACGUCAAAUCAGCACGGCCCUUACGUCCGGGGCUACACACGUGUUACAAUGGCCGGUACAGAGGGCAGCUACUUGGUGACAAGAUGCGAAUCCCAAAAACCGGUCCAAGUUCGGAUCGGAGUCUGCAACUCGACUCCGUGAAGCUGGAUUCGCUAGUAAUCGCGCAUCAGCCAUGGCGCGGUGAAUACGUUCCCGGGCCUUGUACACACCGCCCGUCAAACCAUGGGAGCUGGGGGUGCCUGAAGUCCGUAGCCGCGAGGUUCGGCCUAGGGUAAAACUAGUGACUGGGGUUAAGUCGUAACAAGGUAGCCGUACCGGAAGG